This 253-nucleotide ribosomal RNA is filed under the name uncultured bacterium. RNAcentral describes it as "partial 16S ribosomal RNA". It matches the Rfam family "Bacterial small subunit ribosomal RNA", at positions 524 to 776 of the family's 1533-position model. The record is from RNAcentral.
UACGUAGGGUGCAAGCGUUGUCCGGAAUUAUUGGGCGUAAAGAGCUCGUAGGCGGUCUGUCACGUCGGCUGUGAAAUCCCGAGGCUCAACCUCGGGUCUGCAGUCGAUACGGGCAAACUUGAGUGUUGCAGGGGAGACUGGAAUUCCUGGUGUAGCGGUGAAAUGCGCAGAUAUCAGGAGGAACACCGGUGGCGAAGGCGGGUCUCUGGGCAACAACUGACGCUGAGGAGCGAAAGCGUGGGGAGCGAACGGG